Molecule: small nucleolar RNA, 106 nt
Organism: Dipodomys spectabilis (banner-tailed kangaroo rat)
Lineage: Eukaryota; Metazoa; Chordata; Mammalia; Rodentia; Heteromyidae
Product: small nucleolar RNA SNORA38
Exons: 1
Source: RefSeq, a predicted model, not a curated record
GCUACCUAUCAUUGGACACGUAAGAAUUGGAGGCAAAGGAAUGUGAAUUUGGAGAAACCUAGGCCAGCUUGCUCUCUGCAGGCUCAAUAUCAACCAUACUACAUAA